Molecule: transfer RNA, 95 nt
Filed under: Romboutsia maritimum
Lineage: Bacteria; Bacillati; Bacillota; Clostridia; Peptostreptococcales; Peptostreptococcaceae
Description: tRNA-Ser
Rfam family: tRNA
About the family: Transfer RNA (tRNA) molecules are approximately 80 nucleotides in length. Their secondary structure includes four short double-helical elements and three loops (D, anti-codon, and T loops).
Source: RNAcentral
GGAGAGAUGGUCGAGUCGGUCGAAGGCGCUCGCCUGGAAAGUGAGUAUACGUCGUCAAAAGCGUAUCGUGGGUUCGAAUCCCACUCUCUCCGCCA